This 260-nucleotide unclassified non-coding RNA is filed under the name Aichryson dichotomum. The record is from RNAcentral. Lineage: Eukaryota; Viridiplantae; Streptophyta; Magnoliopsida; Saxifragales; Crassulaceae.
AAUCCCCUAAAAAGUCUCAUUUGAUUGCCUAAUUAUUUUUUUCAUACUCUCGUUUCUUUUCAUUAGUAGUUUCAAGCUUGUUAUGUUUCUCAUUUACCCUAUUUUUUUACAACGAAAUCCUAUAAAAAUAGGAUUCUCUUAUCACAAACUUAGAAGGUAUAGGGACUAUAUAAGAUUUUAAUAACUACCAUUUCAUUUUUUUUUUUUAAUUGACAUAGCCUCAAGUCAUAUAGUAAAAUUAGACUGAUAUGGAAAGGAUG